This is a long non-coding RNA of Mercenaria mercenaria, 911 nucleotides long. RefSeq lists it as uncharacterized. NCBI's taxonomy places the organism in Eukaryota, Metazoa, Mollusca, Bivalvia, Venerida, Veneridae. The record is from RefSeq and is a predicted model, not a curated record. The transcript has 3 exons.
CUAGGAAGUUUUGAUCACUUUGUGUCUGCUUAUUCACAAAUAACAGAUCGGUUGGGAAGUUUAUAAACAUUUUCGUUGUUUCUUUUGGAUUUAUUGGCGAUUUUGUUGAAAUUAAGAAGUUGACAAUGAAUGACAUAACACAAACUUUACUGGUUGCUUUUGUUGCUUGUACAUGGACUAUAGCUCGCUCUCAAAUCAACGUCAUAUACACGCAGUCAGUUUACCAUACCAUCUCACUAGGAAAGGACCGGUACUCACAUUUCUCACAUAAAGAUUCAUGGUCGACCCGGAGCCCUUUUCAAACAAAAUUCCUUAGAAGUUCAAGUGAAUUUCAGAAUAUUUAUUAUAAAAUUACCAGGACUACGAACUAGAUCGAAGCUACGCUGGAAUAGUUAUUGUUCUUAUUUUGUCAUAUUGUAAUAUUUCACAGAGUGUUUUAAUGUAAUCGUUUUUACUGUUUGCUUUUCAAUUUUGGGAACGUCUAGAACUUUAUCCUAUAACCCAAUUUGGAUUCAAAAUUAGGGAAUCGUCGGACAGGCGAACUUACUCGCCGCAGUUCCAAAGCAUGUGAGUAAGGAAUCCUCUUAAAUGAUAUGGCAUUUUUCUGAUGUCGCACGUCCCCCUCCGAGGACGGAGUAGGGUUGCGUGCUCCGCUUUCUGCAGUCCGACUUUGGUUUCCAAAAAUCUUUUGGUUCUGACAAUAAUGACAGUAAGAGUACCGAGCAUUAUUAAUCUAUUUAUGAAAAGAAAUUAGGUUCAUUCACGGUUUGGUUGUACUUAAGAUCAAAAUGAUUUCAUUCAGGCGUUUUAUAGUAUAUGUAUAUGAUAAAUGCUUUGUUUAGAAAUUGAGAUUGUUCGGGCUGGGGUAAUAAAUAAACGACGGCUCCCGGGCGACCUCAGGCCUAAAUAUA